CGCCUUUAGACUAAUUAUUAAAGGUCCAUUCUGCCCCAUGAUUUUUAUUAAAUGGCCGCGGUACCCUGACCGUGCAAAGGUAGCAUAAUAAUUUGCCUCUUAAUUAGAGGCUGGAAUGAAUGAAUAUACGAAAAUAUUACUGUUUCAUCUGUACAUCUAAAAACUAGCUUUCAGGUGAAGAGACCUGAAUUUUUUAAAAAGACAAAAAGACCCUAUUGAGCUUUAUCUAAAACCAGACUUUCUGUAAAAUUUUAACCCCUCUCUGUUUAUUAGAUUUUGUUGGGGCGACAGAAGAAGACCUAAAUCUUCUUUAUUAACAAAGGUUAUAAACCUAACCAAAGAUCCGGACACCCGAUUUUAAGAAGAAGCUACCAUAGGGAUAACAGGCUAAUUUUCUUUAAGAGCCCAUAUUGACAAGAAAGAUUGGCACCUCGAUGUUGGCUUAGGGCAUCUCCUAAAUGCAGAAGUUUAGAAAGUAGGUUUGUUCAACCUUUAAAGCCCU
RNAcentral lists this ribosomal RNA (502 nucleotides) under Nemertea sp. LVSF021. RNAcentral describes it as "partial 16S ribosomal RNA". It matches the Rfam family "Bacterial large subunit ribosomal RNA", at positions 1829 to 2597 of the family's 2925-position model. Lineage: Eukaryota; Metazoa; Nemertea. The record is from RNAcentral.